GACGAACGCUGGCGGCGUGCUUAACACAUGCAAGUCGAACGGAAAGGCCCCCUUGUGGGGUACUCGAGUGGCGAACGGGUGAGUAACACGUGAGUAACCUACCCUCGACUUUGGGAUAACUUCAGGAAACUGGGGCUAAUACCGGAUAGGAGCUCCUGCUGCAUGGUGGGGGUUGGAAAGUUUCGGCGGUUGGGGAUGGACUCGCGGCUUAUCAGCUUGUUGGUGGGGUAGUGGCUCACCAAGGCUUUGACGGGUAGCCGGCCUGAGAGGGUGACCGGCCACAUUGGGACUGAGAUACGGCCCAGACUCCUACGGGAGGCAGCAGUGGGGAAUAUUGCACAAUGGGCGGAAGCCUGAUGCAGCAACGCCGCGUGCGGGAUGACGGCCUUCGGGUUGUAAACCGCUUUCGCCUGUGGCGAAGCGUGAGUGACGGUAAUGGGUAAAGAAGCACCGGCUAACUACGUG
RNAcentral lists this ribosomal RNA (465 nucleotides) under uncultured bacterium. RNAcentral's name for it is "partial 16S ribosomal RNA". It matches the Rfam family "Bacterial small subunit ribosomal RNA", at positions 28 to 507 of the family's 1533-position model. The record is from RNAcentral.